GACGUAGGGGGCGAGCGUUGCCCGGAUUCACUGGGCGUAAAGCGCGUGUAGGCGGUCUGUUAAGUCGGAUGUGAAAGCUCCGGGCUCAACUCGGAAAUUGCAUCCGAUACUGGCAGACUUGAGGACGGUAGAGGUCGGUGGAAUACCAGGUGUACCGGUGAAAUGGGCAGAUAUCUGGUGGAACACCAGUGGCGAAGGCGGCCGACUGGGCCGAUCCUGACGCUGAGACGCGAAAGCCAGGGUAGCGAACCGG
This 253-nucleotide ribosomal RNA is filed under the name uncultured bacterium. RNAcentral describes it as "partial 16S ribosomal RNA". It matches the Rfam family "Bacterial small subunit ribosomal RNA", at positions 524 to 776 of the family's 1533-position model. The record is from RNAcentral.